Molecule: long non-coding RNA, 1283 nt
Organism: Ostrea edulis (European flat oyster)
Lineage: Eukaryota; Metazoa; Mollusca; Bivalvia; Ostreida; Ostreidae
Exons: 2
Source: RefSeq, a predicted model, not a curated record
CUGAACGCCACACAUUUACAAGGCCUUACUGGCUUAAACAUGUACAGAUGAUAAGGUUGCACUGAGUUUUGAAAUGAAAAACUACAUUCAAGCUGUGAGCAUCAAUAUUUUAUUUCCAGAUUUAUAUCAUUCAGUGGUGGAUCCAGAAUAUCUUCACGGUAUAAAAAAGGGGGGUAUAGCGACCCAAGUUUGUACAUUUUGAACUCAUGAAAGGCGGGGGGAUGUUUAACACCACAAAAUGGCAGAAAUAAGCUUCUGUUUUAAAAUGAUAUUCAACCAAAUAGGAGGGAGAUGUAACCCCUUGUAGAUCCGCCACUGUCAUUGGAUUAAGGUAUUUUCUUGCCAGAUUCAUAUAUCCGUAUUCGGCUCUGUGGAAUUUAAACUUUAAGCAUGUUAUUAUUAGUAUACAGAGGUCAUAAGUUAUUUACAGAAACAAGUGCUUGUGACUUUAAGGUCCAAAUAAAAUGCAAGGAUAAGUUGUAGCUAAAGGUCAACGCUACAAAUAUUUCAUAUCCAUUAGGAAUGUACAUGUGUAUAUUAUUAUAUCAUUAUAACUUUAGGAAUAAGACUUAUACGGAGAUAUAAAAUUUGCAUAAAUUUCAAGAUUUAAAACUGUUUCAAAACAAAUUUGUAUUCAAUUCAUGUUUCUAUGAUUUAUAUACACAUCUCUUUAUUAUGCAUCAUUUGACAUGUUUUACUAUUUGUACUAUAUGCCUCUCGGGGUCCUUGUCCCGAGGGGAUCCAGGUUAGAGUAGGUCCUCAGUACCCCCCUUGCUCGACCAAAUGGGGCGGAUGAGACCGCAAAAACUGACGUCCCCGUGUCACAGCAGAUGUGGCACGAUAAAGAUCCCUCCCUGCUCAAAGGCCAUAAGUGCCGAGCAUAGGGCCUAAAUUUUGCAGCCCUUCACCGGCAGUGGUGACGUUUCCAUAUGAGUAAAAUAUUCUCGAGAGGGACGUUAAACAAUAUUCAAUCAAUCAAUCUCGGGGUCCUUGAUGGCAAUAAAUCAUCUCUAUCUGGGUGGAGGGUGUACCCUCUUCCCUCCAAUAGUUUUCAAUACACUGUUGCAACGCGACAGAUGCGGAGAUUGAAGCGAUUUAGGUACAUUUGUACUCCGGCGAUAGAAACUGAAGAAACAGAUUGAACAAGGAAACAAAUUUGAACAUUUCUAUCAUCAGCAAUAAAACAAUCAUUAAAACUUUGUUGUAAUGUAAAAAAUAUUUUGAAGCUGAAAUAUUGUCAAAUUUAUUUAAUUGAUAAAGAAAUUAAAAAUCAUAGAAAGUAA